UGGGCUGUGGCUCAGUGGUAGGGUGCUCACCUAGCAUGUGUGAGGCCCUGGGUUCCAUCCUCAGCACCACAC
RNAcentral lists this transfer RNA (72 nucleotides) under Marmota marmota marmota (Alpine marmot). It matches the Rfam family "tRNA". From Rfam's summary of the family: Transfer RNA (tRNA) molecules are approximately 80 nucleotides in length. Their secondary structure includes four short double-helical elements and three loops (D, anti-codon, and T loops). Lineage: Eukaryota; Metazoa; Chordata; Mammalia; Rodentia; Sciuridae. RNAcentral also lists the same sequence under 1 other name. The record is from Rfam by way of RNAcentral.